CGUCCCAAGCGUCACUCGAACCGG
RNAcentral lists this non-coding RNA (24 nucleotides) under Arabidopsis thaliana (thale cress). Lineage: Eukaryota; Viridiplantae; Streptophyta; Magnoliopsida; Brassicales; Brassicaceae. The record is from RNAcentral.